AGCCAGGCGCAUUGGCGGCUGCCGUUAAGUCCCAACUAUGACCCAGACUGAGGUGGGAGCAUCGCUGGAGCCCAAGAGUCCGAGUCCAACCUGGGCGACGUACCCCCUGAUUAUGUAAUGAGAGCUAACAGUGACAGCUCGAAAUGGCUUCCAUGUAGGAGCCCACUGAAGCCCACUGAAGCCUGGCUGGAACCAUCAGAGAUGAGUUCUAUCAUCACUUUCGUGGAAAUGGAAACACAGUGUCUAGCUAAGACAAGAAAUCUCUGUUCGGAAAUACAGUUUGGUUGACUUGCUAAGGAGACUGGGCUGAGCACUGUGAUAAGCCAUCUUGCAGGGAUACACUUAAGCACUUUGCAAUCAAUGGAUGGAAGGAAGGAAACCUUUUCUUCUCUGGCAGCUACUGAGAUACCCACGGAACUAACAAGGAAACAAGGAAGUGAGACAUGAAGUAGCUUGCAUUGCUGACGAUUCCUUAAUGAUGGAACAAGACUGACACCCAGAAUGAAAGGAUUUUAAUAACAAAUAAUGUCACUGGUAUGUGGAAAGCGCAAAAGUAAUGACAUAGACCUUCGUUAGAAUCUUGACACUGUCACUUAACAACAGUGACUUUAAGCGUGGGUUUUCUCAUCUGAAAAAUGGGAGAAGAGAGGUUUUUAA
Molecule: long non-coding RNA, 657 nt
Organism: Pongo pygmaeus (Bornean orangutan)
Lineage: Eukaryota; Metazoa; Chordata; Mammalia; Primates; Hominidae
Exons: 3
Source: RefSeq, a predicted model, not a curated record